Small nucleolar RNA from Teleopsis dalmanni, 85 nucleotides. RefSeq annotates it as small nucleolar RNA Me28S-Gm1083. NCBI's taxonomy places the organism in Eukaryota, Metazoa, Arthropoda, Insecta, Diptera, Diopsidae. The record is from RefSeq and is a predicted model, not a curated record. The transcript has a single exon.
UAUGUAUGAUGAGCAAUAACUUUCGCCCCUAACUGAAGAAAAUUCUGUUGAACGCGAAAUUCAUUGGUCUUUCUGAUUAUAGAUU